UUUUUGGACAAGUCAAGUGUGUUAUCAUAUCAAAGGAAGUAUUGUAGACCCAAAUAUCAUUAAGGUUCAAGUUCACACAUUCAGAAUCAGUGAUAUCUAGUUUCAAUUGUGCAGCAAGUUUAUCAAAGAAAGUAUUAUACACUAGAAUAUCAUCAAACAACCAACCUACAUGUUUAGAAUCAUUUUCAGCACACAAACAAUCAAGCUCAAACUCAGAGAACUUUGCAGAUUUCACAAAUUUAAAUCUAAAAUCAGAUUGAUGCAAUUUCGGUUCCUGCAACUUCUUAGGUUCAUUCAAUACAUAA
Molecule: long non-coding RNA, 305 nt
Filed under: Brassica rapa (field mustard)
Lineage: Eukaryota; Viridiplantae; Streptophyta; Magnoliopsida; Brassicales; Brassicaceae
Description: long non-coding RNA (BRAP_LNC008186)
Source: RNAcentral